Molecule: transfer RNA, 98 nt
Filed under: Henningerozyma blattae CBS 6284
Lineage: Eukaryota; Fungi; Ascomycota; Saccharomycetes; Saccharomycetales; Saccharomycetaceae
Description: Tetrapisispora blattae CBS 6284 tRNA
Rfam family: tRNA
About the family: Transfer RNA (tRNA) molecules are approximately 80 nucleotides in length. Their secondary structure includes four short double-helical elements and three loops (D, anti-codon, and T loops). Further hydrogen bonds mediate the characteristic L-shaped molecular structure. tRNAs have two regions of fundamental functional importance: the anti-codon, which is responsible for specific mRNA codon recognition, and the 3' end, to which the tRNAs corresponding amino acid is attached (by aminoacyl-tRNA synthetases). tRNAs cope with the degeneracy of the genetic code in two manners: having more than one tRNA (with a specific anti-codon) for a particular amino acid; and 'wobble' base-pairing, i.e. permitting non-standard base-pairing at the 3rd anti-codon position.
Source: Rfam by way of RNAcentral
GUCCCAGUGGCCGAGUGGUUAAGGCGAUGCCCUGCUAUUGAAAGGUUGCAUUCAGGCAUUGGGUUUUACCUGCGCAGGUUCGAAUCCUGUCUGUGACG